CGCGACGCGGCGGCGCGUGCGGCGGCGCAGUCGCGGCGACCUCAGCCCGAACGGAGGAGUUGCGGUGACUCCCGCCUCGCUUUCGGCGGACUGCAGAGGGGUCGCCCCCACCCGCACCCCACCCCCACCCCUACUCCACCCUCAAAGCCUCGGGAUGGAGCUGCGCGUCGCAGGGUGCCGCGUUCGCGCACACUGAGCAGCCACCAGUGUCGCUUAACCUCUGGAGCAAUCCCGAACGUUAGCCUGUUCGGGUAGCCCUCGUUGGCUUCUGCAGCCGCAGGUCAGCAGACCCUGCACAAUUUGCACCAGCGGUUUCCGCUGUCUGCGGCUGCAGAGACACUGGCAUUCCGAACGUGAAAGCGCAGUUAAGGAACAUGCAGGCAAGAGAGAGCACUCUGAAAUUUGGCUUAGCCAUUGAGAAGGCUACAAUACGUGGAAGUGUUUAUCAGAUAUCUGCGCCGAGAGCAUAACUUCCUGACAGCCCAAAUAGUGGCAAAUUUUUUUAAGGCCAAAGAAUAAUCAGAGGGAGGGGAUUUGGAGCCGACCCGGGUCGAGUUGAGUGUUGCUGCACUUUGCAGAACCAACUGACUGGUGCGGAUGAUUCGGUAGGUGGCAUUCUUCCCUUGGAGUCAGGACUACAGAAAGGGUGGAUUAGUAAUGAAGGACAUCACUGCAAGAUACUAUGUGGUUGAAGGGGGUUUAUUUGUUUUUGUGGUUAAAAAAAAAAAAGAUCGAGGUUCCUGUGGGGUUGGGCUGUUAUCAGGACAGGUUGUAGAAGAAUGGGGCUCUCGCCGGCUCUGUUCCAAGCAGGAGAUGCUAUCCAAAACACACACACACAGACACACACACCACACACACACACACACACAACCCCAAACUCUGGAAUUGUUUAUUAUGGAAGUAACAGGGAGAAAAUGUUCCAGCCCAUUUUAAGCCUUGUCCACAUCACAUUGUUCAAAGCAGACUUAUACAGGCUUUAUAAGUCUUGAUUUAUAUAAUACAUAUGUACAUAAAUCAUUCAUAUAUAUAUAUAUAUAUAUAUAUAUAUAUAUAUAUGGAUAUAUGUGUGCACAGACACAGUUUUUCUGGGGUGGCCCCUGCUUAGACCCAUGUGUAGUGCCGACUUCACCCACCAUAGAGUUUGUCAUGAAUUUUAUAUCACAGAGGGCUUUGCAGUCCUUUCAUUCCUUGUUGAAAUCAUGCUGUUGUGUUUCCUAUCAUGAAUGGACAAUCCCCAUUUUCCUUACUCUGCUUCAUUUUUUAAAUUUCAAUAAUACUUAUCCCCUUCUAACAUUUCCUUAAAUAGGAAAUAGUUAUAUUUAUGAAAAUAAAAUAUUUACGAAAUAUGCAUUUCAUUUAAUAUUUCAUUUAUUAUGUUUAAUGUGAUUUAUGUUUGUCUUCCAUGGGUCAGAAAUCUUGUUGUUUGUUGUUGUAUCUCAAGAGCCUAGAGCCCUGUCCAGCACAACAAAUGUUUGUUAGUUGAAUGAAUGAGUGAGACACAGAAAGGAUAUGAGACAGAUCCAGAAGGGCCAGGCCUGAGUUGGUUAUUUUAUGCAGAGAUAAUAUCUCAUGCUCCAAUCAAAGUAUUUAUACUGCACAUGUGGAAAACUCACUUUCAGUUCCGAAUUUGUAAGUGCUUUUAUUUCAAAUUCCAUGAAUUUUGAUAUGCAUAAAAAAACCAUUCCACUCAGGAGUUUUGAGGGAGGUCUCGCUUUGUAAAGAAAAUUGUGUUUGCUCAGAUUAAUAUCACCAGAAUAAUGUUGUGAGAACACAAAUCUGAUCACAGUCACUCCCCAGCUUAAAACCUUCCUUGGCUCCUAAGUCUAUGUAAUAAAUUUCAAAUGCCAGAGUGUGAUAUACAAAGCUGCCUACAAUCUGAGGCCUCACUCCCACUUCUUUGUCUUCUCUCCUGCCCUACUUCAACCCUCACUCACCCUGUUCUCCCUCACACUGAACUAUUUGCACUUCCAAGAGCGCCUGGACCUCUCACAUCUUCAUGCCUUUGAACCUGCUGUUCCCAUUGUCUAGGAAGUUUUCCAUCUAUAUGUUCCAACCUCUGUUGUUUUACAUGUAUUCCUCUAGUUCCUGGUGUAUAGUAAAUACCUGAUAAGAAUUUGUUGAGGAAAGAAAUCUUUAUGUCAAUAAUUACCUCCGGAAAAUCUUUCUGUAUUUACUUCUCUUUACCUAGCUAAUUUUUAAAAAUAUGUAUUUAAUUAUUUGAGGGGGGGGGGAGGGGCAGAGAGAGGGAGACAGAGAAUCCCAACCAGGCUCCGCAAUGUCAGUGUGGAGCUGGAUACCAGGCUCGAUGUCACAAACCAAACUGUGAGGUCAUGACCUGAGUUGAAACCAAGAGUUGCACACUCAACCGACUACACCAGCGCCCCUACCUAGCUACUUCUACACAGCAACCACACACACAGGGUUAAGUGUACCUUCUGUGGUAGUAGCAUGACAUUUAUUGAGUGCUUACUUUAUACCAGAUACUAAUCUAAACAUUUUACACCUACUAAUUCACUUAAAUCUUAAUAGUAAUCCUACAAGGUAGAUUCCCUUACACCCCAUUUUACAGUUGGGAAAACCAAGCCACAAAGAUGUUAAAUAACUUGUUCAAACAGAUGGUAAGUAGUGAGACCAAACUUGGAAACUGGGAGCUGUGUUCCAGAACCAGUUCUCUGUCUCUCUCUUUUUUUUUUAAUUACAGUUUAUUUUUAACUUAUUUUGAGAGAGAGAGAGCGCACAGGGGUGGGGAGAGGGACAGAGAGAGAGACCCCAAGCAGGCUCUGCACCAUCAGUUAAGAGCUGUCGUGGGGCUCUAUCUCAUGACUGUGAGAUCAUGACCUGAUUCGAAAUCAAGAGUCAGAUGUUCAACUGACUGAGCCACCAAGCGCUCCCAGAACAAGUGCUCUUAACCCCUUACUUAUACUGCCUUUCCUGUGUGGCUCCUUCUCUUCAUAGCACACAUUACACUAUUAUCAUGCUUAUGCUUCUUGGAAUUAAAGGUUGUGCUUUGUCUUUUCUUCUUUGUGCCAAGCAGAGUUACACUCUUAAUGAUUUUUUUUUCAACAACUUUGCUUUGAAUGAAUGAGUGAAGUAGUAAAAACAACCAUUUUCAUUAAGCUAUACAGUUUAAGGAAGAUGCUCUGAUGGGGGAGAAAUAACCGUGGACUAGUCCUAUAUCAUUCCUUAGACCGUGAAAGAAUUUUGCCUGCACUGGGAAUGUUAUGUUGCAGAAAAGGAUGAUGCCAGAAAAUAAAAGUGAUGACAAGGCAUUUUAAGGAGUGUGAUGACCAUGUCUGACACAAGCAGGAUGCAUCCAGAAUAUUUUGAAACAAACUGUAAAGCAAAGUACUAAGAAUAGCAAAGUGAAGCAGCUGGGAAACACCAAUAGCAGACCUUUAACAGGAACUAGUCUAAGAAUGAAACCAAAAUGUUUAGCCAACCAUUAGAAUGAGUAACAGUGAAUAAAUUUAACUAUGAAAGGGGAUGUCUGUGCAACUCAUUCAUCAAAUGUAUAUUUAUUGUGUGCCUGCUAUGUGCCAGACACUGUGCCAUGCGCUUGGAAUAUAGUCGAGUUGAGUCCUCAAGUGUGAUCCUCGUAAGCCCCAAGAUGCACACAAGAAUCAUGGGCAGUGCUAUCUGAAUUUUCUAGAGCAAAGGUUGCAAGCUGAGGGGCCACAGAGUGAAUUCAGGUGUGUUUUUCAACAUAUAAACCUUUCAUUUUUUUUUUUUCAAAUUUGUUGCCAACCUUAAAAAUCAAGAUAUUUCACAUAGAAAUCUGGGUGAAAUUUCUCCAAGCAACAGUCAGCUAAAACUGAGUUGCAGCUGCGUUAUUACAUUUAAUGCUCAUGACAACUCUAUGGUUGUCAUAGUCACCACUGUCUCUAGUGCUGGGUAACUACUAACAGUAAGGUAGUGGAAGAUGAAAAACUGGCAAGAGAGGUAAAGAGACCAGAGAAGAAUGAGAAAUACCAAUGAACAGAUGUUCCAGUGAGAUGGUCAUGCAGAAUCUUGCAACAGCUUUCAACUACUGGAGACAAGGAGUAUGCUUAUUAACAGGGCACCGAGGCUUCCUCCCCCAAUGCACAGAUGUGCCUGGUCAAAUCCCGGAGGAACUUCGCUCGGCUAGCUUGGCUCACCAUUACUACCUUUGUUGGGUGAGGCUCUUUGAAUUAAUGCACCUAGUGGGUUUCUCGUCCACUUCACCUACCAUUGAUUCAACUGGCAGCCAGUGCUUUGCAGAGAACAGCCCAGCUCUGCCUCCCUUGGCAGGGGCAGGUCUGCAGGUUCCCAGCAGAAGAGAAACUUGACUGACAGAUCCAGGACACCUAAGUGUCAGAAGUACUGAAGCAAAUGCAUGACCAGACUGAAGGAUGGCUGACUUUCUGUAUCAGUUGCUCUACUCUGAUGUCUUCUAGAAGAGAGGAGAGUGAGACAGCCACUGGAGUAUCUCCAACAGUGAAUUCCCAGUUUGGAAUGUACCUCUCCUUCACAUAAUCCUGGCAUUCUCAACAUGGGGAAGGAAGCUGACUCCAUCCAUCCCAGGCACCAGAGAACACCAUGGCCUCGCUGUGGGGAUCAAGCAAGUCUGGAUGUCAGGGGAUGCACCCCCUCCCUUGCCGGGGAACACCAGCGCAUAUUGGACCCAUCCUAGCCCAUCCAGGAUCCAUUGGUUCAUCUCCUGCUGCAGCAUUCAUAGUUCUAGAGCCUGUACCUUGGAUGCAAAAUUAAUGUGCCCGGAAGAGCAGUAUUGCAAACAAGCCGCAUCCCUGCCAGUGCCCAAACAGCCCCUGAGCUCAGAAGAGAAGCUGUCUUGGAUAAGGUUGCAGUCUCAGCCAACACCUUGACUGUGGCCAUAUGAGACCCUGAGAAGGAGACCCGCUUCGGCUGUGCCUGGACUCCUGACCCACUUGACAAUUCUGUGCAUUACUCAGUGCUCAUCACAAGAACUGUAUGUUGUUUUAAGUGUGAAGUGUGUAUCUGAACUCACGGAGUGUUGAAGAGAGUGUCCAGAGGAACCAAGCAACUCCUGAGACCUUUCUCCCAGGAAGAGAAAAAGAGGGAGGAGGAAGAGGCAGAGAAAGGAGCAAGAGGAGCAACAGAAGGAAGAGAGUACGCAAGAGGACGUGAUCUCUUUGGACUUCAUAUUACUGGUCUGUUAAAGGAAGGGAGGGGACCUUGCAAAGGCAUGAACACCAAGAGGCGGGGUUACGGGGCCUUCGAGUCUGUCACAGUCAGCUCAAAUCCAGAAGAGAACUACAGAGGAGCUGGGAUCAGCUCUGUGCUUGGCAGGAAGCACCAGAAGCCGCUCUCACAGGUCCUCGUACAAGAUUCCUAUGUUGGCCUGUUUAUGUUUUUUCAUUUGCUCAGAGUGUGUCACAGAUAACCAAAUGAAAGGUAGCCAGAAAUGAGGCGCAAAGCAUCUAAAUCCAUCCAGCAUCAAUGAAGUGGACCAUGGAGUCAGCAUAACAUGAACACGGCAGCCCAACGCUGUGAUGUGUCAUUAUCCAAGAGGUGGUGUUAUUCAUUACCUCUCCACAGAAGUUCCUAGAAUGAAAAAUAAAACUUUUUGGAAUCUUUCGUAAAAUGUGUUUUUACAGCAGCAUAAAAGUAAGAGAUGUUUACUGUAAUAAAAUAAACAAUAAAACAUAUGUAAAAUACAAAUGAAAAGCCACCCCUCAGCUCCGACCCUCCCCCCAACCUGCCAUUUCCCAAUUCAAACGGCCACCGAGAUUGCCAUGAUCAACAGAUCGUGGUCAUCCUUUGACACAUUUUCUAAGCACACAUGUUCCGUUCACACAGCUAGACUAUACUGUACAUUUCCUGCAACCUGCCAUGUUUGGUUAGCAGACAUCAUUCCAAGUCAGUACAGAGAGAGAUGCCUUGUUCUUUAAUGGAUUUCACACAUGACAUUGUAGGUUAAUUCUAGGGGGUUUUUGUUGUUGUUUUGGGGAUUCUUUUUUUUUUUUUUACUGUUAAAAACAGGACUUCGUGGUCAUUUGUAUCCACAGAUAUUUGUGUGUGUAUUUAUUUGUAGGAUAAAUUUCCCAAAGUGAAAUUGCCGGGUUAAAGGGUAGGCACGUUCCAAAUUCAAAUUGAUAUUGCCAGUUGCCCCCAAAAAUGGUUGUAUCAAUUUAUACUCUCAGAAACUCCUUUACUUGGUAUUUUUUCCCUAAAAGUGAGGAUGGAGAAGGAACACCAGAGACCUUGAUGAGGGAGGUAAAGAAAUAGCAAAAUCCGGGCAAGUCCCUUCACCACUCUGCCCCUGGCUGAGUCUGCUGAGCCUGACGCACCGAAGGAGGAGGGAACUGAAAGAAGCAGCUGCUGAUUCACAAACACCUCCCACCCCGUCAGGGGUUGAAGAGCCUGUUUCUGUCUAACUUCAAAAAAAAGAAAGAAGGACUCAGAGAACAUCUUCUAAUCCACCUGUCUGGUUUUGUUCAAGGAUUUCUGUACCUCACUCCGGGAGAUAAGAGGCCUUUUGGACAAGGCUUUCUUUCAAAAGCACCAAGUACAAAAUGUUUGAGCGGUGGUAAUUUAAUUCUAACAGCCUUUAGCAUUCCCAGAAGAAACAAGAUCCUGUGCAAUUGAUGAUUGAGUCAUUCAGGCAAAAUGGGGUUAAGGGGGCUGACAUCGAUAAAUCGGCUUUUUCUGGCCUCUCCUGGCUACAUUAAUAAAAAUCUCAUGGGCAUCUUAACCCUAUGCUUGUCAAGCUCUGAAGCAAUCCAUUGCUUGGAUUUUUCUCGGAGCCGAACAAAAAGAUAUCUGAUCCCGAGAUAAAAUCCCAUCAGCACCAUCACCUGCUGCCAGGAAACUUUCUCCUUGAGAAGUAGGAAUAAAAAUUAAGUUUGUGGGGCGCCUGGGUG
Felis catus (domestic cat) is the source of this 6863-nucleotide long non-coding RNA. RefSeq lists it as uncharacterized. Lineage: Eukaryota; Metazoa; Chordata; Mammalia; Carnivora; Felidae. The transcript is spliced from 12 exons. The record is from RefSeq and is a predicted model, not a curated record.